Molecule: long non-coding RNA, 1022 nt
Filed under: Rattus norvegicus (Norway rat)
Lineage: Eukaryota; Metazoa; Chordata; Mammalia; Rodentia; Muridae
Description: long non-coding RNA NONRATT023563
Source: RNAcentral
CUUUCCCUCUCCCUCCCCCUCUCUCUCCCCCUCACCUUCUCUCUCUCUCCCUCUCCUUCCCCCCUCUCCUUCCCUCCCUCUCCCCAGAGAUUAAAAGAAGUGCUUCAUGACUUGCCAUGGGGACUGUGAGGGCCAAGGCCACUGCUCAACAGGCGUUUCAUAUUGCAGUCGGAUAACCUGAUAAAGGCUUGGUUUGGAGCCCACCUUCCAAGGAUAGAAGGGACCACUCACCACUUUGCCCUUCAUUUUGCAGUUUACUUUAACUGGCUGAAAAGGAAACAUUGUAUUUUCUCUUUGAGCCUCAUACCUUGAGGGGAGAUGAUGGUUCUGAUGUCCCUAUGUGGGGCCAUAUCUUUGUUAACCCUAAAUGGAAAGAGACUAAGAGAGACCCUUGCUCUGCAGGCCUUUGUCAAGCACCUACCCAGUGACAGGCCUCAUUCUGAGCACUCUGUAGACUUUGUGUCAUUCGGUCUUCAUAUGGUGGGCUGAUAGACCCUGCAGCAAACAUGCCUGCUCUCUCCUUGUGCUCCUACAGAUCACACAGACAGAGGUCCAACAAGGACAGCAGCAGUUCAGCCAGUUCACAGACGGACAGCAGCUGUACCAGAUCCAGCAAGUCACCAUGCCUGCAGGCCAAGACCUUGCCCAGCCCAUGUUUAUUCAGUCAGCCAACCAGCCCUCUGAUGGGCAGACCCCCCAGGUGACUGGAGACUGAGGCCUGAGCUGCAAAGCCAAGGACCCCCAACACAAUAUUUGCCAUAGAGCCCCCAGGCGAUGGGGACACACCUUCCCUCACCAGAGGACCCGGGACUUCAUUGCCUCCUGCAGGCUAAGAUACUGGUGCACUACUCUCCACGCCUGGGGACUGAGAGCCUACAACAGAAAGAUGCAAUAUUUUUUAUUUUUUAUUUUCUUUUUUUCAUUUUUGUCUCCAAGGAAUCAAUAUUUCAAUAUAUCGAGCUAUGUGUCCAAUGCUAUGAAACGAGAAUAUUAAAUAACAUAUUUAUGGCAUUUUCUUGAAA